This 433-nucleotide ribosomal RNA is filed under the name uncultured bacterium. RNAcentral's name for it is "partial 16S ribosomal RNA". It matches the Rfam family "Bacterial small subunit ribosomal RNA", at positions 29 to 507 of the family's 1533-position model. The record is from RNAcentral.
AGCGAACGCUGGCGGCAGGCCUAACACAUGCAAGUCGAACGAACUCUUCGGAGUUAGUGGCGGACGGGUGAGUAACACGUGGGAACGUGCCUUUAGGUUCGGAAUAACUCAGGGAAACUUGAGCUAAUACCGGAUGUGCCCUUCGGGGGAAAGAUUUAUCGCCUUUAGAGCGGCCCGCGUCUGAUUAGCUAGUUGGUGAGGUAAAGGCUCACCAAGGCGACGAUCAGUAGCUGGUCUGAGAGGAUGAUCAGCCACAUUGGGACUGAGACACGGCCCAAACUCCUACGGGAGGCAGCAGUGGGGAAUCUUGCGCAAUGGGCGAAAGCCUGACGCAGCCAUGCCGCGUGAAUGAUGAAGGUCUUAGGACUGUAAAAUUCUUUCACCGGGGACGAUAAUGACGGUACCCGGAGAAGAAGCCCCGGCUAACUUCGUG